Molecule: ribosomal RNA, 316 nt
Filed under: uncultured bacterium
Lineage: Bacteria
Description: bacterial SSU rRNA
Rfam family: Bacterial small subunit ribosomal RNA
Source: RNAcentral
GACGAACGCUGGCGGCGCGCCUAACACAUGCAAGUCGAACGAGCGGGAGAGAGCUUGCUUUCUCGAGCGAGCGGCGGAUGGGUGAGUAACACGUGGGGAACCUGCCCCUAAGUCUGGGAUACCAUUUGGAAACAGGUGCUAAUACCGGAUAAUAAAGCAGAUCGCAUGAUCAGCUUUUGAAAGGCGGCGUAAGCUGUCGCUAAGGGAUGGCCCCGCGGUGCAUUAGCUAGUUGGUGAGGUAACGGCCCACCAAGGCGACGAUCGGUAGCCGGACUGAGAGGUUGAACGGCCACAUUGGGACUGAGACACGGCCCAG